Molecule: ribosomal RNA, 584 nt
Filed under: uncultured Methylobacteriaceae bacterium
Lineage: Bacteria; Pseudomonadati; Pseudomonadota; Alphaproteobacteria; Hyphomicrobiales; Methylobacteriaceae
Description: bacterial SSU rRNA
Rfam family: Bacterial small subunit ribosomal RNA
Source: RNAcentral
GAGUUUGAUCAUGGCUCAGAACGAACGCUGGCGGCAGGCUUAACACAUGCAAGUCGAACGCCCCGCAAGGGGAGUGGCAGACGGGUGAGUAACGCGUGGGAACGUGCCUUUCGGUUCGGAAUAGGCCGGGGAAACUCGGGUUAAUACCGGAUACGCCCUUCGGGGGAAAGAUUUAUCGCCGAAAGAUCGGCCCGCGUCUGAUUAGCUAGUUGGCGGUGUAAUGGACCACCAAGGCGACGAUCAGUAGCUGGUCUGAGAGGAUGAUCAGCCACACUGGGACUGAGACACGGCCCAGACUCCUACGGGAGGCAGCAGUGGGGAAUAUUGGACAAUGGGCGCAAGCCUGAUCCAGCCAUGCCGCGUGAGUGAUGAAGGCCUUAGGGUUGUAAAGCUCUUUCGACGGGGACGAUAAUGACGGUACCCGUAGAAGAAGCCCCGGCUAACUUCGUGCCAGCAGCCGCGGUAAUACGAAGGGGGCUAGCGUUGUUCGGAAUCACUGGGCGUAAAGCGCACGCAGGCGGAUCGCUAAGUCAGGGGUGAAAUCCCGAGGCUCAACCUCGGAACUGCCUUUGAUACUGGCGAUU